GAAAUUGCGAGUUGUUUUCUUCCUCAGAAACAAGUUGGUGCAACAAUUUUAUCGGAGUCGGAGAUCAACAGGUCAAGUGAUGAUAACAGUGCUACCAAAAAUAAACCUGUUCUUGAGGAGUUAGGUAAAUUCAUUUAUUUUCCUCUGUAUUUUCCAUCUCUUCUGCUAUUAUAAUUCUACCUAUUUCUUUGAGAUGGGCUAAUGUUCAACUGCAUGAAGCUAAGGCUGUAAUUCAUUCUUCGUUCUUAUCUUCUGAGAUACUGCAUAGUUCUCUUCAUUUUCCCUAUUAAUUUUCAUUCUUGUGCUACACUGGUCUGGUUAAUAAUUUUGUUUGUAAGAAUGAGGAUAUUCCUAAAAAGGCUGCAGUUGCACCAAUUGAUAUGGAUGAGAAUUUGCUAUGAUAGAUUUAUCACAGAUGACCAUUGAGUAUGUCAUUAUAAACAAUAAUAAUUCUGACUUUGAGAUAGUACGAAGGAAAAGUUGAAAAGAGAGAUACUUUGAAGAAUUGUAGGGAACAUCUAAAUAAAUGAGUAAAACAAAAAAUUGCUAAAAAUGGAUGGAAAGAGUAGGAAUGUAGCUAAUUUUAAAUUUGGGUCUUGCAGUGAUUGAGGAUUCUCUGUUUUCUUUUCCCAGACUGUAAGUAUCUUUAUGGGUGUAUAUACAAGUAUGGAUGAGAGAGAGAGAGAGAGA
This 690-nucleotide unclassified non-coding RNA is filed under the name Hevea brasiliensis (rubber tree). Lineage: Eukaryota; Viridiplantae; Streptophyta; Magnoliopsida; Malpighiales; Euphorbiaceae. The record is from RNAcentral.